RNAcentral lists this unclassified non-coding RNA (338 nucleotides) under soil metagenome. Its description in RNAcentral is "partial contains 5.8S ribosomal RNA, internal transcribed spacer 2, and large subunit ribosomal RNA". The stretch from base 1 to 120 matches the Rfam family "5.8S ribosomal RNA", at positions 35 to 154 of the family's 154-position model. The record is from RNAcentral.
GAUGAAGAACGCAGCGAAAUGCGAUAAGUAAUGUGGAUUGCAGAAUUCAGUGAAUCAUCGAAUCUUUGAACGCACAUUGCGCCCGCCAGCAUUCUGGCGGGCAUGCCUGUUCGAGCGUCAUUUCAACCCUCAAGCUCUGCUUGGUGUUGGGGCCCUACGGUUGACGUAGGCCCUUAAAGGUAGUGGCGGACCCUCUCGGAGCCUCCUUUGCGUAGUAACUAACGUCUCGCAUUGGGAUUCGGAGGGACUCUUGCCGUAAAACCCCCAAAUUUUCUAAUGGUUGACCUCGGAUCAGGUAGGAAUACCCGCUGAACUUAAGCAUAUCAAUAAGCGGAGGA